UCAGGCCAGGUCGGCAAGAGCGUUACGUUACAAUAUAUAUAUUAGGGUGGCCGCAAUUCGGGUCACUUUUUUUUUGCAAAUUCCUUUGCGGAAACAUCAUCAACAUCAAAAAAAAAAUGUGUACCAAAUUUGAAUGCUCUAGGAGAAUUUAAACAGGUGCCACCGAAGAGUUGAAGUUUUAAAUGCAAAACACGUGUAUUUAUCAAACUCAUUAAUCAAUUGUUUUCUGCCUCCCAUAUUAAUGACGAUAGAAAUCUGAAAUUUGGCACACUUGUUGUUCAUAUUGAAGGGUACGAAACGGAAUUUUUUCAGAUUUUUCCGAAGAUUAUUUCCGCGAUUUUAACUAUUACAAAGAUGACCAUAUUUUUUAAUUUUUUUAGAACUUUGAUUACGGUCAAUCAAAGCACUUUUAAACGUCACUUUGAUGCAUUUAGACAAUGUUUAAGCCGAAAUCAACAGUGUAUAUUUAACAUUAACUCAUCAAAACCCGAAAUUGGGCGAAAAUUCAUCGAUGAAGCGGUCCAAACAAAGUCCCUCUGCCAGGGGUUGGAAAAGUUUUUUGAAAAUUUAACGUUUUUUUACAAUCCGCCAAUCUGUAUAUAAUUUCUUAACUUUUGCAACACACUUGUAUAAACUUGGCUCAAGGAUACUAGCUUUUUCCUAGAAAUACUUUUUUUUCUUUAGGAUCAUUGAAGUACUUUAUUAUAAACUGUAAUUUAUCUAACGCAUAUUCCAAAAAGCACUUCCAACAUUUUUGUAAUUUACUCGGCAUUCUAGUUCGAGAAAUUUGUGAAUUAACGUUUCCAGUAAUAAAAAUAUUUGUCACAACAUAUUUUCUUGCCAUCACUGUUCACACUUUUACUAGUAGUGCUCCAUUCACUCUAGUAGCACGUAUAAUGUGUAUUGGAAGAAGUACGGAAGGUUGCUUUCUGCUAUGAGGUGAAUUCGCAAAAAGAAAAUAUGACGCGCCUUUGUCUUGAUCUUUCUUAGUCUGUAUAUGCAAUACUCAGUAUACGUGCUACUACAGUCGGUGAAACACUGCUUAUUACGGUACGAGCAACGAUGGCAUACGAAUUACGAAAAAAUAUUUUUUUUGAUUGGUGAUCUUGAUUCACAAAUUGUUGGAAAUAAAUUACCGAACCAAUUGCAAGUGUUGAAAGUGCUUUUUUUCAACAUGCGUCAGUUGAAUUACAGUUUAAAACAAAGUGCUUCGAUGGUCGUGAAGGAAGUUUUUAUUUUCUGGGAAAAAGCUGGUAUCCCUACGUUAGACUUAUAUAAGUGUAUUGAAAAAAUCGAGAAACUGUACGGAAUUUGGCGCUCCACACAAAAACGUGCUGGGAAAAAGUGCAAUGAAGCCAAAGAAGUGGAUUUCAGACUAAAAAACGAGUCCCUAUUUGAUAUCGCUGCAUCUUCAGAAGUGCUCAAAGAAAUCGACGACGAAAGAGUAACUUUUUUGCAAGACUAAAGGAAACCAGGACGAAUCGGUUUCAUUGGUAAUAUCCAAACUAUACACGAUGAGAAUAUCACCGAUGAAGAGAUUAACUUUAUCCUGGAAAAACGCAAACAGGCCAAAUACGAAAGAGAACAAAGCAACAUUGGCGAUAAUGUUGAGCUGGUAGACAGCAGCCAAAGUACUCAAUCUUUUUCUCAACGGAGUAAUUUCUCGACUGAAUUUUUUAAUCAAGAUAAUACGGAGAUUACUGGGCCAUCGCCCUCAAAAAGAUUUCGGGGCGCAGUAAACAUUAUUAGUGAGAAAUUAGUCGCGACUUUAGACACAUGUUUAAUUUCCGAUCGGAAUUGUACGCAUCAUAGCUGCAGUAGCAGAGUCAUAUGGAUGCGAUCUCAAUACGCUUAUCAUCAACAAAGUGUCGAUCCACAAAUAUCGGGAACGAAUCCGUAAAAAAUGUGCCGAAAAAAUUAAACGGAUAUUUCCUUCUUGUGAACUACGUGCCCCGGUGCUUCAUUGGGAUGGAAAAUUAUUGCAAAAUUUUUCGCAAAGCGACAAUGUCGAUUGCGUGGCUAUUAUAAUCACAAACGAAGGAAAUGAACAAAUUUUAUCAAUUCCUGCACUCGAAAAUGGUUACGGCUCAACGCAAGCAGGUGCCAUUGCCGAGGUCCUUCAAGAUUGGGGACUUACUGAUACAAUUAAGGCUCUCUGCUGCGACACUACAAAUGCGAAUCUUGGUUUGAGAAAAGGUGCUGCCGUACUCCUUGAGCAAAUAAUCGGUCGUGAUUUGCUAUAUCUUCCAUGCAGGCACCAUAUUUUUGAAAUCGUGUUAGGUGGAGUUUUUGAUGCACUCAUGCCUGUGUUGUGCCCGUACAUCGCACUCAUUAAAACAAAUUAAGCCCUAUCAGCGCAAACGCAGCAAUGAUGAAAUAUCGAUGCUCCCGAACGAGCGCAUCGACCCUCGAUGUCAACAUCGAA
This is a long non-coding RNA of Venturia canescens, 2425 nucleotides long. RefSeq lists it as uncharacterized. The record is from RefSeq and is a predicted model, not a curated record. The transcript is spliced from 3 exons. Lineage: Eukaryota; Metazoa; Arthropoda; Insecta; Hymenoptera; Ichneumonidae.